RNAcentral lists this ribosomal RNA (663 nucleotides) under uncultured bacterium. RNAcentral's name for it is "bacterial SSU rRNA". It matches the Rfam family "Bacterial small subunit ribosomal RNA", at positions 8 to 648 of the family's 1533-position model. The record is from RNAcentral.
AGAGUUUGAUCAUGGCUCAGAUUGAACGCUGGCGGUAAGCCUUAAACAUGCAAGUCGUGCGGUAACAGACAUAAAGAUUUAGCUUGCUAAAUCCGGUGCUGACGAGCGGCGAACGGGUGAGUAACACGUAGGAAUCUACCCAGUAGCGGGGGAUAGCCCAGGGAAACUUGGAUUAAUACCGCAUAAGCCCUAUGGGGGAAAGAAGGCCUCUCUUUGAAGCUUUCACUAUUGGAUGAGCCUGCGUAAGAUUAGCUUGUUGGUGGGGUAAAAGCCUACCAAGGCAACGAUCUUUAGCUGGUCUGAGAGGACGAUCAGCCACAUUGGGACUGAGACACGGCCCAGACUUCUACGGAAGGCAGCAGUUAGGAAUAUUGGACAAUGGGGGCAACCCUGAUCCAGCUAUACCGCGUGUGUGAAGAAGGCCCUAGGGUUGUAAAGCACUUUAAGCAGGGAAGAAGUAUAGUAAGUUAAUAUCUUACUAUAUUGACGUUACCUGAAGAAUAAGGACCGGCUAACUCCGUGCCAGCAGCCGCGGUAAUACGGAGGGUCCAAGCGUUAAUCGGAAUUACUGGGCGUAAAGCGCGCGUAGGCGGUUUAAUAAGUUGUAUGUGAAAGCCCUGGGCUCAACCUAGGAACUGCAUACAAAACUAUUAAGCUAGAGGA